UGAUAAGGGGUGUUCACUUUCCACUAUAAAUUUGCUUUCCAACUGUACUUCUAAAGUUCAUGCCAUGUCAAACGAUUGCGCGAAGGGAUCUCAUCCCAUCAGCAAUUAUAAUUCUAAAGCUUAGUGAUUGAUGUUGGUCCUUCCUACUUCCUCAUUGCACCUUAGAAAUCAUUGGUAAACUUAUGGGGUGUCAAGUCAAGGGAACAAUUAUAACAGACAAGUUAUCAUGGCUGCCUUUCUCAUAUGCAGUAUUUAUAAUACACUCUGCCAAUGAGGUUGAAGACAGGCAUGAGAAUGGCAUCUUUGAAUCUUCACUUCCUUGGAAAUGUGAAUUCCAUUGAAAAAUCAGAUUACCAAUAUCCUGUGGCGUCAAGCUCUCAAAUAUGCCAUCAGAUGCAACCACCAAAUGCGUAUCAUUAGUAGUUAAAGGCCUCCAACCUGUAUACUCGGGCUCAGCUAUAACGCCAUACCUUUUCAGAUAUACAUCACCAAUGGAACGAGACAUGGCAAGCACUCCACUGACUCGAGGCACACCCCAGUUAGUGACAGAACCACCAGCUGCUUCAAUUCGAGCUCUUUCAUCUUCUCUGUCUGGAUGAUGAUCAUAUGUUAAUGCUGUUGCCGAUAGAUGAGCUGUUGAAUCACCUACCAUUUCAUCAAAAGUACAAUUAAGCAUCUCAUCUCACAGAUGUUAUAAGAUCAGCCUAAAUUUCAUAUGCAUGUAGGUCAUUGGUCUAUGCAGUUCUGCCAACAAAUACAAGCAUUCUUUAACUUAGGCAGAGGAAAUAGAGAGAAAGGGAAAUGAAAAAAGAAAAAAAGAAAGAUUUAGACCUUCAGUCCUCAGAGCAGACUGAAUUUUCUCCGAUAAAAGAAGAGCCUUCGAGUCACCGACAUUGGCAACUAAAAUUUGCCGACCAUACAAAAGAACAACAGUGGCAGUGGAGCCAGAGAAAAAGUUAUUUUUAAUAGCUUCCUGAAGUAUAGAAUGAAGCACAAACAAUGUUAUGACUUUGGAGGAAUGAGUACUGGAAAAUUAGAGUGAAAUAAAUUUGAAGCCAGUAGAAGUCUAGAACAAGUCACUACUUGCCUGAGAAAACCUGAGAUCAAUGUCACCAAUUGUCUUGGAUAAUGCUUCUUUAAGAAUUUCCAGCUGAAAUGAUUUAUAAUCGCUUGAGGGUAACACCCCAUUAUGAUAUGCCAUUACCUUGUAUGAUUGGAACACAACAUGCAGGUAAAAGUAAUCAAAAAGAAGUUUUGAAGCCAUCUCACUACAUUCCUUUCCACCAUGGCCAUCAAAUACUGCUACAAUUCCAACUGCUUCCUCCUCAAACUCAUUUUUGCCAGCAUC
This 1348-nucleotide unclassified non-coding RNA is filed under the name Hevea brasiliensis (rubber tree). The record is from RNAcentral. Lineage: Eukaryota; Viridiplantae; Streptophyta; Magnoliopsida; Malpighiales; Euphorbiaceae.